Molecule: long non-coding RNA, 1970 nt
Organism: Oxyura jamaicensis (ruddy duck)
Lineage: Eukaryota; Metazoa; Chordata; Aves; Anseriformes; Anatidae
Exons: 3
Source: RefSeq, a predicted model, not a curated record
CACAACACGUGGGAAUUGUACACUGUUAUGGGAUCCUGAAUCUAAGUGACUUACCUCACCUCACGUAGAGACCUCCUGGGAAAGCAAAGCACACCGAACCUGCAAGUCCAAAAUGAUAUUCCAUCCCUCCCCCCAAAAAGCCUGCCUCUGUUAACUAAUUGAUUUAUAAAACCACAAGUAUGGCAAAUGACCCAGAGCACAUUCCACACUGCAAAAUAAGGAAGCGUGCAGCCAGUCUGCUGCAAGGUGAGGAUGCGGAGCAGAAGCGUAAAGAUUCUUCCAGCAGAACAGGAUCACUGCAGGAGCACCUCGUACUGACAGAGUUAAAAAAAAAAAAACAAAUAGACACUAAAAAGACAUCUGUCAGGUAGCUAACGCUCAAUAUUAAAAAAUUAUUUGUGCCAUGGAAAGUAUCUUGGAAAUACAAGGGCUUUCUGUGUGAACACUUACACACCGAUACGGAUAGAUGUUACUGAAAACCCAGAUAACCCUGGCGCUGAGGCUACAGGGCGCAUGCCCCACGUAUACUGCUAUGUAAUAGUUUACUGCGAUAAUUACGCUAGUUAUUAUAUUUAUGACUACAUUUCCCUGGGAGACUGGAAAUGCAACAUUCCAAGUAAAGGCUCCACAAUUAAUUUUUUUUUUGGGGGUGGACAAAACAAAGCCAGCACAUUCUGGAUUAAGAUGACUGAGGGCACUAACCCCAAAUCAAUCUGCUUACAUAAAAACAAAGCAACAAGUUCAAGAUGGAUCCUAACAUAGCAAACCCAGCAGUCUAGCAACGAACCAUGAGAAAAAUUGACCAAAAAAAAAAAAAAGAAAAACUUUCUUCAGAUAGCUUUCCCUUAGUUCAGAAGCCUUCUGUCUCACUGAAUGGGAUUUUUUUUUUAUGAGACAGAUUGCGAAAGUGUGCUGUAACAGGUUUCUUUGCUGAAUUUCAGCUCUACAUUGAAAGAAGGAGGAUUUCACACACGUGAAAAGGGACAGGUUUCGUACGAAACACACCAGUGUCCUGCCUGAACACUUCCAGUGCGCUGCUGCAGUCUUUCACAACCACAACUGAACUGUCCUUAGUUUACAGUAGUGGCACAGAAAAUAGUGUCAAAACACCGUAUUCCUAUAAGCAGUGCUUACAGCAGGUCAGUUUCUCCAAAAACCACAACACUGAGCUCCAGAAUACCUUCAGGUGGCGAUACAGUUCAGUGCCCUAUUGCCUUUCUUUUCCCUCUCUGAUAUUGCUAAAGAUUAGGUCACUGGAUGUACAAGUAUGAAGCCAAAGCUUCUGUACAUGGUACUUUUGUUUGUGGAGCGAUAUAAGAAGUAGCCCUUUCAAUGAUUAACUUUGCCUUCAAGCCAAAGAGUUUCUAAUAAGCCACCUCGGAGGGUCACCGCUCAGCACCUACUGCAAUGCUUCGAUUGAGAAACUCGACAUCCGAGCUGCUUUACUGUGCUCAGUCUAAACAGAGACUGCUAACUCAGAGAGCUCAUUGUCCCCCAUCAUUUUUGCCCAUUCUUUAACCAUAAACUUGAAAACGAGUUUUAUUCUAAAGCCCUCGCAUUUCUGUGCUCAUUGGACAGUUCUGUAUUUAAUUGGCUUGAACUUCUGGGCAAGUAUCUGUUUUUUCAACCAGAAAAACAAAAAGCUGAUUGUAUUUUCAUGGAUUUGAAUCAGAAUCAUUAUCAUCUUAGACUAGAAAAGACGUAUUAUCCCAGGAAACCCUAUUCUGAGGGAUGUGCUACAAGGCUUGGUUGAGUAGAGCAAGACUACCCCAAGGAAUAUUCUCCUGAGCAACUUUUGCAGUAUCAGCUCCCAGCAUGAAUGUGACCCAGACUCCUAUGGAAGUAUCACCGCUAGCAGCAUGUGCACUUGGAGUCUAACUCCACCAAAUAACGCAGGUUAUCAGUGACAAACAGGCAGCACAGAUGAGGUGGUUUUUCUGGAAGGAGAUCAAACUUCCCAUGGCCCAGGC